GGCAGGGGACCAACCAAGAUGACUCGAGGUAGGGCCUAAAAGUAGAGGUGAUAAUUCUUAAAUAUUUAUUGUGUUCAAUUUGGUUAAAUCUAUCAUAAAGUUACUUGUUUAAUGCAUUGUGCAAGUCCAAAUUUGAUUUUUGACUGGUUUAAUAGAAAGAUUGGAUUUGGGUUGGCAGAUUUUUGACCUAAUCCUCUAUCCGACCCAACAU
Molecule: long non-coding RNA, 211 nt
Filed under: Elaeis guineensis (African oil palm)
Lineage: Eukaryota; Viridiplantae; Streptophyta; Magnoliopsida; Arecales; Arecaceae
Description: long non-coding RNA (EGUI_LNC029183)
Source: RNAcentral